RNAcentral lists this long non-coding RNA (1043 nucleotides) under Apteryx owenii (little spotted kiwi). RNAcentral's name for it is "lncRNA (ENSAOWG00000001825.1)". The record is from RNAcentral. Lineage: Eukaryota; Metazoa; Chordata; Aves; Apterygiformes; Apterygidae.
CGCACUUCACUCUCCGGCCCCGCACCUGCACCCGCGCCAGCGCCGGCGUCUUCUCCUGCCAGGGCACGCGCACCCCCCCCUGCAGGCAGCUGCCCCCCUCGGGGUCGCACGUGKAGCCCUGGGGGCAGCAGUGCACGUGGUCGGGGCAGCACACGGCCUGGGGGGCACAACAAAAAGGGACGUCAGCACGGUCCCCUCGGCCCCGCGGCUGCCACCGCCUCCAUCCCAGGGGGCAGGAGGUCGAGGGACCCUCUCCAGACCCGGCUCCGCUUAUCGGCGCCGUCACGGGAAAACUGCGCUAACGUGUCCCAUCUGCCCCACUUUGGUCCCUCCUUCCCUGCGCUCCGUACCCCCAUCCGGAGCCCGGCUCCAUCCCCCCGGCACAGGGCGGGGGGCUACGGGGUCCCCCCGCACCCUUGUCCCCUCCCGCCUGGGCCAGCCCAGGUCCCUCAGCCCCCAGCACCCUGGUGGCCUCGCACCACUCUGAUCGCAUCCCUCUUGUGCUGGGAGCCCCAAUCCGGGUACAGGAUGCAGCCGAAGCCAUAGGAGCGCUGGGAAAAGGGGAAGCUGCCCAUCCCACUGGAUCCUGCCGGGAUCCUGGCAGGACAGCCAGGAUCCCGUGGCCCUGCCCGGGCGCUCAGAGCUCCCCCAUCUCGGACCACAGCGCCUUUCCAGCCAUCCCUGGCCCAUCCCCUAGCAGGGGUCCAUCUGUCCUAGGGCAGUAUCUGUCCAUGCUGGGGCACAGCGGGGUCCAUCUGUCCCACCCUCCAGGAGAAGGGGGUCUCUCCCUUUCUGCAGGGGUCUCUCUCUCUUGGGGUGCAGGACCUGGCCUCGCUCCUGUUGGACACCAUGAGGGUUCCCGCACCCUUUUAAGCACCGAUCGAGGUCCCUCUACACGGGGUCCUGCCCUUGGGGCACCCCGGGGUGCCACCACCCUCCCCACGGGGCUCAGCCCAGCCCAGGGCCCUCUGCUCCCCCGCAGGCUCCGUCCCAUCCCCUGGGACCGAGGUUACGUCCUGGCCACGGGCAGGGACCUCCCUGAC